GUGAGGAAUUUUCCGCAAUGGGCGAAAGCCUGACGGAGCAAUGCCGCGUGAAGGAUGAAGGCCUAUGGGUUGUAAACUUCUUUUCUCAGAAAAGAAUUAUGACGGUAUCUGAGGAAUAAGCAUCGGCUAACUCUGUGCCAGCAGCCGCGGUAAGACAGAGGAUGCAAGCGUUAUCCGGAAUGAUUGGGCGUAAAGCGUCUGUAGGUUGUUUAAAAAGUAUUCUGUCAAAGAUUAGGGCUUAACCCUAGAUAGGCAGAAUAAACUUUUAAGCUGAAGUUUGGUAGAGGCAGAGGGAAUUCCCGGUGGAGCGGUGAAAUGCGUAGAUAUCGGGAGGAACACCAAAGGCGAAGGCACUCUGCUGGGCCAAUACUAACACUGAGAGACGAAAGCGAGGGGAGCAAAUGGGAUUAGAAACCCGAGUAGUCC
Molecule: ribosomal RNA, 426 nt
Filed under: uncultured bacterium
Lineage: Bacteria
Description: partial 16S ribosomal RNA
Rfam family: Bacterial small subunit ribosomal RNA
Source: RNAcentral